This 254-nucleotide ribosomal RNA is filed under the name uncultured bacterium. Its description in RNAcentral is "partial 16S ribosomal RNA". It matches the Rfam family "Bacterial small subunit ribosomal RNA", at positions 524 to 776 of the family's 1533-position model. The record is from RNAcentral.
UACGUAGGGGGCAAGCGUUGUCCGGAAUCAUUGGGCGUAAAGAGCGUGUAGGCGGCCCGAUAAGUCCGCUGUGAAAGUCCAGGGCUCAACCCUGGGAUGCCGGUGGAUACUGUCGGGCUCGAGUCCGGAAGAGGAGUGUGGAAUUCCUGGUGUAGCGGUGAAAUGCGCAGAUAUCAGGAGGAACAGCCAAUGGCGAAGGCAGCACUCUGGGACGUGACUGACGCUGAGACGCGAAAGCGUGGGGAGCAAACAGG